RNAcentral lists this microRNA precursor (132 nucleotides) under Pelobates cultripes (western spadefoot toad). Lineage: Eukaryota; Metazoa; Chordata; Amphibia; Anura; Pelobatidae. The record is from RNAcentral.
CUUACCAUCAAGACCUUCUGCAAUAUCACUAAUAAAAAUAUCAAAGAGAAUGGGUGGAAGUACAAAUCUGUACUUGGACACAUUCUCUUUAAUAUUUUUAUUAGUGAUAUUGCAGAAGGUCUUGAUGGUUAG